Molecule: small nuclear RNA, 108 nt
Organism: Otolemur garnettii (small-eared galago)
Lineage: Eukaryota; Metazoa; Chordata; Mammalia; Primates; Galagidae
Source: Ensembl
GUGCUUGUUUCAGCAGCAUAUAUUCUAAAGUUGGAAUGAUAUAGAUGAGAUUAACAUGGUCCCUGGGCAAGGGUGACAUGAAGUUCUUAAUAAUUUUAUCUUAUGACU